UUUUAAGAGUUGAGUAAUUGUUUGAUAAAUGGGGUAGGGAUUGGGCUAGUGUAAUUUAAUUAAAAUUGUGCCAAAAUUGGCCCAAAAUUUGAGCCCAAAGAGCCCAAAUCCGGUCCAAAAUGGGGCUGCCAAGAAGAGCUUAAAACGACGUAGUUUGGUCUUGAAACUACGUCAUUUUGGUUAAGUAACAAGAUUCAAUCUCAUCCCCCCAUCUUGAUUUAAUCCAACGGUCCUGGUUUGAUCUUUAUCCUAGGUAUUUAAAGCCCAAAAUCCCCAAAAAUUUGCCCCAUUUCCCCCUUAUUUCCUCUCUCUUCUUUCCCUCUCCUUCUUCUCUCUUCUCUCUCUCUUCACUCUCUCUACGCCGCCCCAUAUCCGCCCACCGCUGCCGGCCGGAAAUCGCCGCCGCCGGCGUAUCACCUCCAAACACCUCUAAAUUCACACCAUGUAAUCUCCACAACUUCCUCUUUCCAUAUCUCCAAACCAAAUCCUUCACAGAUCCCUCAAACUCCUUGAAUCUUAGAUCUUGGAAACUUUCCCGUCACUUUUUUGCCCAAAUCCUUGAAGCUCCAACCACUACCACCCCACAAUACCUACAUCAAUGGAUAGAGUUCCUCAAGACCUAGCUAUUGAUGCCAAUUUCACCCUGAAAAUCCGGCGACCAAAAUCCGGCCAAAUUCCGGCGACCUCCCCGAACACCCUCUUUUGAGGUAAUCCUUUAAGACUCGUAACGUACGUAUUUUCAGCAAUGGGAACAACUUGAACAUACUGCACCAUUUAAAUGUGUUUGAUAUGAUGAAUAAUUUGACAACAAAAGAGCUUGUAUGUUAUUGUUAUGUAUCAAGCAUGUGAUAAUGUGAAUAUAGUCCUUCAUAAUACUUGAA
This is a non-coding RNA of Nicotiana tabacum (common tobacco), 881 nucleotides long. NCBI's taxonomy places the organism in Eukaryota, Viridiplantae, Streptophyta, Magnoliopsida, Solanales, Solanaceae. The record is from RefSeq and is a predicted model, not a curated record.